GCCCUACAGCUAGCCCAACUAAUUAAAUUAACCCCUCAUUAUUCAACAAUUUACUACUCACUAAAUUAAAC
This 71-nucleotide ribosomal RNA is filed under the name Chlorophthalmus sp. 'bake-aome-eso'. Its description in RNAcentral is "partial 16S rRNA". The record is from RNAcentral. Lineage: Eukaryota; Metazoa; Chordata; Actinopteri; Aulopiformes; Chlorophthalmidae.